GGGUUGUGAGGUUAAGCGACUAAGCGUACACGGUGGAUGCCCUGGCAGUCAGAGGCGAUGAAGGACGUGCUAAUCUGCGAUAAGCGUCGGUAAGGUGAUAUGAACCGUUAUAACCGGCGAUUUCCGAAUGGGGAAACCCAGUGUGUUUCGACACACUAUCAUUAACUGAAUCCAUAGGUUAAUGAGGCGAACCGGGGGAACUGAAACAUCUAAGUACCCCGAGGAAAAGAAAUCAACCGAGAUUCCCCCAGUAGCGGCGAGCGAACGGGGAGCAGCCCAGAGCCUGAAUCAGUGUGUGUGUUAGUGGAAGCGUCUGGAAAGGCGCGCGAUACAGGGUGACAGCCCCGUACACAAAAAUGCACAUAUUGUGAGCUCGAUGAGUAGGGCGGGACACGUGGUAUCCUGUCUGAAUAUGGGGGGACCAUCCUCCAAGGCUAAAUACUCCUGACUGACCGAUAGUGAACCAGUACCGUGAGGGAAAGGCGAAAAGAACCCCGGCGAGGGGAGUGAAAAAGAACCUGAAACCGUGUACGUACAAGCAGUGGGAGCACGCUUAGGCGUGUGACUGCGUACCUUUUGUAUAAUGGGUCAGCGACUUAUAUUCUGUAGCAAGGUUAACCGAAUAGGGGAGCCGAAGGGAAACCGAGUCUUAACUGGGCGUUAAGUUGCAGGGUAUAGACCCGAAACCCGGUGAUCUAGCCAUGGGCAGGUUGAAGGUUGGGUAACACUAACUGGAGGACCGAACCGACUAAUGUUGAAAAAUUAGCGGAUGACUUGUGGCUGGGGGUGAAAGGCCAAUCAAACCGGGAGAUAGCUGGUUCUCCCCGAAAGCUAUUUAGGUAGCGCCUCGUGAAUUCAUCUCCGGGGGUAGAGCACUGUUUCGGCAAGGGGGUCAUCCCGACUUACCAACCCGAUGCAAACUGCGAAUACCGGAGAAUGUUAUCACGGGAGACACACGGCGGGUGCUAACGUCCGUCGUGAAGAGGGAAACAACCCAGACCGCCAGCUAAGGUCCCAAAGUCAUGGUUAAGUGGGAAACGAUGUGGGAAGGCCCAGACAGCCAGGAUGUUGGCUUAGAAGCAGCCAUCAUUUAAAGAAAGCGUAAUAGCUCACUGGUCGAGUCGGCCUGCGCGGAAGAUGUAACGGGGCUAAACCAUGCACCGAAGCUGCGGCAGCGACGCUUAUGCGUUGUUGGGUAGGGGAGCGUUCUGUAAGCCUGCGAAGGUGUGCUGUGAGGCAUGCUGGAGGUAUCAGAAGUGCGAAUGCUGACAUAAGUAACGAUAAAGCGGGUGAAAAGCCCGCUCGCCGGAAGACCAAGGGUUCCUGUCCAACGUUAAUCGGGGCAGGGUGAGUCGACCCCUAAGGCGAGGCCGAAAGGCGUAGUCGAUGGGAAACAGGUUAAUAUUCCUGUACUUGGUGUUACUGCGAAGGGGGGACGGAGAAGGCUAUGUUGGCCGGGCGACGGUUGUCCCGGUUUAAGCGUGUAGGCUGGUUUUCCAGGCAAAUCCGGAAAAUCAAGGCUGAGGCGUGAUGACGAGGCACUACGGUGCUGAAGCAACAAAUGCCCUGCUUCCAGGAAAAGCCUCUAAGCAUCAGGUAACAUCAAAUCGUACCCCAAACCGACACAGGUGGUCAGGUAGAGAAUACCAAGGCGCUUGAGAGAACUCGGGUGAAGGAACUAGGCAAAAUGGUGCCGUAACUUCGGGAGAAGGCACGCUGAUAUGUAGGUGA
RNAcentral lists this ribosomal RNA (1731 nucleotides) under Escherichia coli. RNAcentral's name for it is "partial 23S ribosomal RNA". It matches the Rfam family "Bacterial large subunit ribosomal RNA", at positions 1 to 1765 of the family's 2925-position model. The record is from RNAcentral. Lineage: Bacteria; Pseudomonadati; Pseudomonadota; Gammaproteobacteria; Enterobacterales; Enterobacteriaceae.